UGGCCUACUUGGGUCCCCUCCCAGGAUCUUGCCCUCAACUGAGGAAGCAAUGUUACAGUGCUGAUGCUGUGCUCAGCAGUAGCCAAUACAGUGGUGUGUUAUCGACACCCUUCUAGCUACCAAUGCAAAGCACAGCACUGUGAGGGCUGCUGAGGGGAAAUGAACUCCAGCUCAGCCAAACCCAGUAUAAUCACUCACAGUCUACCAUGCAGGCAUAAAAGGACAGAGUAUGCACGUGGCUCAAAAGAGGUCUUCUAAAACUAUUUGUUUAUUAGUAUUUAUUACUACAUUUUAUUAGUAUGAAUUUAGUUGUAAACUAUUAUUUUAUUACUGUUACUUUUAAUAUAAUUCCUUUUCUAGAAACUUUUUACUAAUGCAGUGUGUCUAUGUGCAGAGUUGCUCCCUUGAGAACAUACUCUCAUAAGGCAAACAGGAUAUCUUCUAUGUCAAGAAUUGUUAUGAAGAACUUACAGAUCUCCAAUUUUAAUUUUCAAUCAAUCUCCUAUACUUUACAACUUAAUCCAGCAGAUAUAUAUGCUAUGCCUCCUCAACUGCAUUUCUUCUAUGUCACACAUCCUGUAAAUUAUGACUGUGGUAUUUAAAAACUUUUUAAGCAAACAAAGGAUUGCUUAAUAGUUUAAUGUCUGUAAUAUAUAUCCCAAGUUUGGGCAUUUCACUUCAGGGCUAUGAGAUUAGCAACUAUACAGAAUUAGUAGUUGCAUAAGAAAACAGCAUCUUCAAAUGAGAAGACUCGCGGAUCUGCAGAAUGAGUUUUUAUCCAGAUGCAAGUUUAGAAAUUUCACUGUUGAAAAUGUCAUCACUGAACUACAAAGUAUCACAAAGAGAAAAGGAGAAGGAGACAUCAGUGAAACCUCCAAGUCUGUUACUAGGCUCCUCUGGUCAUGAGAUGCAGUGCUAAUUGCAAGUAACUUGAAAAUACUUCACAAAACUGAAUGAACGGGCAAAAGAAUGGCAUGAACAGGCAAAAGAAUGGCAUGAACAGGCAAAAGAAUGGCAUGAGCUUCAAGACCUGGGGCUGUUUAGUCUCACCUCUGCCUGGUAAGAUCAUGGAGCAGAUCCUCCUAGAACCUAUUGCUAAGGCAUGUGGAAAACAGAGAGGCAAAUGGUGACAGCCAAUACACCUUCACUAAGGGCAAAUUAUGCCUGACAUAUUUGGUAGCUUUCUAUAAGAGGGCUACAGAGUUGGUGGGUAAGGGAAGAGUGGCUGAUAUCAUCUACCUGGACUUGUCCAAAGCAUUUAGCACUGUCCCACACAACAUCCUUGUCUCUAAAAUGGAAAGACAUGGACUUGAGAGAUGGACCACUCACUGGAAAAGAAACUGGCUGGAUAGCUGCACUCCAACCAUUGUGAUCAAUAGCCUGGUGUCCAUGUGAAGACUAGCUAUGGGUGGUGUUCCUAAAGGUCUGUAUUUGGACCAAUAUUAUUUAACAUCAUUAUUAGGGACAUAGCAAGUUAAUGGAUGACUAAAAAGAGAUUGGCUUCGAACAGAUACAAGAAAGUAUUACUUUACACAUCAGUCAGAACUCUUAUGGAACUGGUUGCCACAAAAGACUGUUAAGGAAACCAGGACAAUCAGGUUCAGGAAAAAACCCCAAACAAACAACUAAAAGGAUGAAAUCAUAAAACAAAUCCAGUCCACAAAUGAGCAUUACCAGACCAGGGCAUGUAUAUGCUCUAAUAUCUCUUAUACAGCAACUGCAGAUGCUGAGGGAAUAAGUAAGAAGAGACUACAGAAAACACACAACUAGUUUGCAUUCCAUAGACAGCACCCCUAUUGCAAUGAAUGGACAGAGGACUCAAAUGUAUCAGUGGUUUUACCCACUAAGGCAUUUCUGUUCUUAGAUGCAUAAUCCCACUUACUUUCCCUCUAAUGUUUUGUUGAACAUAGCUGAGUAUGUGCAACGAACUAGUGUUUCACUUUAGAAUGCAAGAUUAAAAAUUCAUGUGAGACAGUAGUUUAGACAUUUCACACCACCUUCAGCACUCUUUAAUUUCAAACUAUCAUCAGCUACUGUACUUGCAUUUGCUGAAGCUGAGUAAAUGUCCAAAUUAAUAGUCUCAACAAUAUAAGUUCACAAUUCUCUAAUGUGGAGUAGAACAGCUACUUCAUCAAGCCAAUGUAUUUUUUUAUUUAGUUAUAUAAAAGCACAGGUGAUUUUUAGUUACAACUUUUAACAUAGAUAGACUUUAAACAAUGGUUAGAUUUUGCCAUCCAUCUUAUAAGUUAGCAUAAAGGCUUUUUCAAGAUUUCAUUCUUUUUAAGUUUUAUUUGUCAG
This is a long non-coding RNA of Chiroxiphia lanceolata (lance-tailed manakin), 2298 nucleotides long. RefSeq lists it as uncharacterized. The transcript has 3 exons. The record is from RefSeq and is a predicted model, not a curated record. NCBI's taxonomy places the organism in Eukaryota, Metazoa, Chordata, Aves, Passeriformes, Pipridae.